GCAGGGUGUGGUGGUGCACACCUGUAAUCUCAGCAACUUCGGAAGCUGAGACAGGAGGAUUACAAGUUCAAAGUCAGCCUCAGCAACUUAGGGAGGCCCUAAGCAACUCAGUGAGACUCUAUCUCUA
RNAcentral lists this small RNA (127 nucleotides) under Marmota monax (woodchuck). Lineage: Eukaryota; Metazoa; Chordata; Mammalia; Rodentia; Sciuridae. The record is from RNAcentral.